This 1171-nucleotide ribosomal RNA is filed under the name uncultured bacterium. RNAcentral describes it as "bacterial SSU rRNA". It matches the Rfam family "Bacterial small subunit ribosomal RNA", at positions 243 to 1399 of the family's 1533-position model. The record is from RNAcentral.
AGGUAGUUGGUGGGGUAAAGGCUCACCAAGCCUACGACGGGUAGCCGGCGUGAGAGCGUGGCCGGCCACACCGGGACUGAGACACGGCCCGGACUCCUACGGGAGGCAGCAGUGGGGAAUUUUGGACAAUGGGGGAAACCCUGAUCCAGCGACGCCGCGUGCGGGAAGAAGUCCUUCGGGACGUAAACCGCUGUUGUAGGGGAAGAAUAAGGGGAGGUUGACUCUCCGAUGACGGUACCCUACCAGAAAGCCCCGGCUAACUACGUGCCAGCAGCCGCGGUAACACGUAGGGGGCUAGCGUUACCCGGAAUUACUGGGCGUAAAGGGGGCGUAGGCGGCCCGGCAAGUCGAGUGUGAAAUCCAGCGGCUCAACCGCUGGGCUGCGCUUGAAACUGCCGGGCUUGAGUGCAGCAGAGGGAGACGGAAUUGCCGGUGUAGGGGUGAAAUCCGUAGAUAUCGGCAAGAACGCCCGUGGGGAAGCCCGGUCUCCUGGGCUGUGACUGACGCUGAGGCCCGAAAGCUGGGGGAGCGAACCAGGAUUAGAUACCCGGGUAGUCCCAGCCGUAAACGAUGCUCACUAGGUGUGGGGGAGUGAAAUCCUCCGUGCUGAAGCCAACGCGAUAAGUGAGCCGCCUGGGGAGUACGCCCGCAAGGGUGAAACUCAAAGGAAUUGACGGGGGCCCGCACAAGCGGUGGAGCGCGUGGUUUAAUUGGAUGCUGAGCCAAGAACCUUACCAGGGCUUGACAUGUCGGUGGUACCGACCCGAAAGGGGAGGGACUCAUCCUUAUAGGAUGGGAGCCGACACAAGUGGUGCACGGCCGUCGUCAGCUCGUGCCGUGAGGUGUUGGGUUAAGUCCCGCAACGAGCGCAACCCCUGCCCUUAGUUGCCAGCGGUGUAAGCCGGGCACUCUAAGGGGACUGCCGCCGACGAGGCGGAGGAAGGAGGGGAUGACGUCAGGUAAUCGUGCCCCUUAUGCCCUGGGCGACACACGCGCUACAAUGGGGAGGACAAAGGGAGGCGACCCUGCGAAGGGGAGCGGAUCCCAAAAACCUCCUCUCAGUUCGGAUCGCAGGCUGCAACUCGCCUGCGUGAAGGCGGAAUCGCUAGUAAUCGCGGAUCAGCCAUGCCGCGGUGAAUACGUUCCCGGGCCUUGUACACACCGCCCGUCA